CCUACGGGCGGCAGCAGUGGGGAAUAUUGCACAAUGGGGGAAACCCUGAUGCAGCGACGCCGCGUGAGUGAAGAAGUAUUUCGGUAUGUAAAGCUCUAUCAGCAGGGAAGAAAGAAAUGACGGUACCUGACUAAGAAGCCCCGGCUAACUACGUGCCAGCAGCCGCGGUAAUACGGAGGGGGCAAACGUUAUCCGGAUUUACUGGGUGUAAAGGGAGCGUAGACGGCGAUGCAAGUCUGAAGUGAAAGGCGGGGGCCCAACCCCUGGACUGCGUUGGAAACUGUAUGGCUGGAGUGCAGGAGAGGUAAGUGGAAUUCCUAGUGUAGCGGUGAAAUGCGUAGAUAUUAGGAGGAACACCAGUGGCGAAGGCGGCUUACUGGACUGUAACUGACGUUGAGGCUCGAAAGCGUGGGGAGCAAACAGGAUUAGAUACCCCAGUAGUC
This 443-nucleotide ribosomal RNA is filed under the name uncultured bacterium. Its description in RNAcentral is "partial 16S ribosomal RNA". It matches the Rfam family "Bacterial small subunit ribosomal RNA", at positions 338 to 795 of the family's 1533-position model. The record is from RNAcentral.